AAAAUUUAAAUUAAAUGGAUAAAAAGAAUGCCUAGGUACUUUAAGACGAAGAAGGACGUAAUUUUAAAAUAUACGAAAAACUUAUUUAUUAAUUAUAAAUAAGAUUUCCGAAUGGGGGAACCUUUUAAAUUUUUUUUAAUAAAAAAGAAUUACUUGAGGAACUGAAUCAUCUUAGUACUCAAAGGAAAUGAAAAUAACAAUUAAUUUCCUUAGUAGUGGCGAACGAAAUGGAAUAAAAAAUAGUAUAUAUUUAGUUAAAAGUAUAUAUAAACAUCUGGUUUAUAUUGAAGAAACAAGAAUUUCCUUGUAAAACUAAAUACUUUAAAGUAACCGAUAGUGUACUAGUACCGUGAGGGAAAGGUGAAAAGAACCCCGGGAGGGGAGUGAAAAGAAUCUGAAAUUUUAAUCCUAAAAACAAUAGAAGGGCAAAGAGCCUAACUAUGUGCCUGUUGAAGAAGGAACCGAUAAGUUUUGGUAUUUAAGCAAAAGGUUAAAAUAAAACAUGUAACCAUAGUGAAAACGAGUUAUUAUAUUUUAGAAAGAUAAUAGCAUUUGUAUAUUACCAAAAACCCGAAUCCAAUUGAUCUAAUCUUGUUUAGAAUGAAAUAUAAAUAAAUUUAUAUGGAAGUUCGAACUGGUUAAUGUUUCAAAAUUAUCAGAUGAAAUGAGAUUAGUGGUGAAAUGCCUAUCGAAAUUGGAGCUAGCUGGUUCUCCUCGAAAUGUAUUUAGGUACAGCUAUUAUAAUAAAUAUAAAAAGGGUAAAGCACUACAAAUUUUUUAUUUGUAAACUAAUAAUAUUUUUAUAUUAAAUUUAUAAUAAGUGAGACUUUUAGGGAAAAUCUUAUAAGUCAAAAGGGAAACAACCCAGAUCAUUAAUUAAGAUAAUAUUAUAAAUAAUUUAAAAAGGAUGUAGAAUUGUUACAAAUACAAUCAGAAGGUUAUCUUAGAAGCAGUUUUCCUUUAAAAAGUGCGUAAAAGCUUACUGAUAAAGUAAUUCUGCACCUAAAAUUAAUAAUUAAAUAUUAUUUUAUCGAAAUAAUGAGAUCUAUUUUAAAUUUAAAUAGAUCGGUAGAGGAGCGUUCUAUAUUAAAAUAAAGCAAAGUUAUUAAAUUUUGUUAAUAAAAUAGAAGUGAGAAUGUCGGUUUAAGUAACUUAAAUAUUAAGAAAAAUCUAAUACCUCUAAAACUUUAAGGGUUCCUAUGAAAGGAUAUACCGCAUAGGGUUAGUCUAGACCUAAAAUAAGAAAUUUAUUGUAAUUGAUGGUAAUCAAGUUAAUAUUCUUGAACCAUAUUUAUAUAUUUACAAUUAGUGACCUAAAUUAAAUUUUUAAAUAAUUAAUAAUAUAUUAUAUGAUUUUUUAUUUAAAAAAAAAUUUAGCUAGAAAAAUGAUAUUGUAUAAAUAUAAAUAAUGCUAGUACCAAAACUAACACAAGUAAGUAAGUAUUUAAAAUACUAAGAGGACGAAAUAAUUUUUUUUAAGGAACUAGGCAAAACAAUCUUGUAACUUCGGGAUAAAAGAUGCCUAUAAGGCUGCAAUUAAAAAAUUCAAGCGACUGUUUAUCAAAAACACAAGUAUCCGCAAAAUAUAAUUAUGAAGUAAGGAUACUGACACCUGCCCAGUGCUAGUAAGUUAAUAAAAAUUUUUAUGUAAUACAAAUAAUUUUUUUAUAAGCUCUAGUAAACGGCGGCUGUAACUAUAACGGUCCUAAGGUAGCGAAAUUCAUUGUCGGGUAAGUUCCGACCAGCACGAAAGGUGUAACGACUUGAAUACUGUCUUUAAAAAAAUUUCGGUGAAAUAGAAAUGUUUGUAAAGAUACAAACUUUUUACAUCUGGACAGAAAGACCCUAUGAAGCUUUACUGCGAAUUAAAAUUGAAUUUAAUUUUUAUUUAUAUAGUGUAAGUGGGAAAUAUUUUUUAUUAUUAAUGAAACACCACUUUAAUAUAAAUUAAAUUCUAAUUAUAAUUUUUUUAUCAUAUUAUAUAAAAAUUUUAAUAAGGUAGUUUAACUGGGGCGGUUGCCUCCUAAAUAGUAACGGAGGUGUACAAAGGUUUUUUUUAUUAAUAUACAUAAUAAAUUAUAUUAAUAGAUAUAAAGGUUAAGUAGUAAAAAAGCUUGAUUGUAAGAGCUACUGUUCAAACAAGGACGAAAGUCUGUCUUAAUGAUCCGACAAAAUCUAAGUGAUAGGAUUGUCGAUUAACGGAUAAAAGUUACUCUAGGGAUAACAGGCUGAUCUCUCCCGAUAGUCCAUAUUGACGGGGAGGUUUGGCACCUCGAUGUCGGCUCGUCGCAUCCUGAGGCUGUAGCAGGUCUCAAGGGUUGGUCUGUUCGCCCAUUAAAGCGGCACGUGAGCUGGGUUCAGAACGUCGUGAGACAGUUCGGUCCGUAUCCGAUGUAAACGUAAGAAUAUUGUAAAGUAUUUCCUUUAGUACGAGAGGACCAAGGAAAUUAAACCUAUAGUAGUUCAGUUAUUUUAUCAAAAGUAUGUUGCUGAAUAGCUAAGUUUAAUAAAAAUAACUACUGAAAGCAUAUAAGUAGGAAAAAACUUUAAGAUUAAUAUUCUGUUCAUUAAUAUAAAAUUUAAAUAAAUGAGUAAGAAUUUAAAAAGAAUAUUUAUUAAAAAGAAAAAUUGUGUAAAAAUAGUAAUAUUUUUAGCAAAUUUUUACUAUUAAUUCGAAAUUAAAUUUUUU
RNAcentral lists this ribosomal RNA (2689 nucleotides) under Myotis davidii. Its description in RNAcentral is "Bacterial large subunit ribosomal RNA". It matches the Rfam family "Bacterial large subunit ribosomal RNA". Lineage: Eukaryota; Metazoa; Chordata; Mammalia; Chiroptera; Vespertilionidae. The record is from Rfam by way of RNAcentral.